UACGAAGGGGGCUAGCGUUGCUCGGAAUCACUGGGCGUAAAGCGCACGUAGGCGGACUCUUAAGUCGGUGGUGAAAUCCUGGAGCUCAACUCCAGAACUGCCUUCGAUACUGAGAGUCUCGAGUCCGAGAGAGGUGAGUGGAACUGCGAGUGUAGAGGUGAAAUUCGUAGAUAUUCGCAAGAACACCAGUGGCGAAGGCGGCUCACUGGUCCGGUACUGACGCUGAGGUGCGAAAGCGUGGGGAGCAAACAGG
This 253-nucleotide ribosomal RNA is filed under the name uncultured bacterium. RNAcentral describes it as "partial 16S ribosomal RNA". It matches the Rfam family "Bacterial small subunit ribosomal RNA", at positions 524 to 776 of the family's 1533-position model. The record is from RNAcentral.